CCUGCGCGUCCGGGCUUAGGCGGCGCAUUGCAGCUGCCUGGCUGGUUGAGUGCCUCGGAGGCUGGGCUGGAAAGUUGCAGUGGUGCAGACUGAAAUUCGCGCUCAGGAAGACGCUGUGGAACGCGAUAUCAAAAGAGCCUGUCUGGAGUUGCCAAUGCACAGAGACUCAGUGGGUUCUAUUGGAAGCCUGCCCCAGGGCAGCUUUGAAAUAGUCGUCAAGGCCCAGGAAUUGCUGCUGAUUUGAUCUAGGAAGAACUAUUUCAAAGAACUUUACUGUGUGUGUUAUUGUUACCUAACAUUUAUUAUAGUCAAGCAUUUUCUUUAGCAAAAUGGGGAGAGGUGAUCCCACAGAAGUCUGUGACACGUGGCACCACGCAGCAGAUACGAAACAAGCUGCCUUAAAAAAUAAAGUCGUUAAAAGGGAUAGAA
Mesocricetus auratus (golden hamster) is the source of this 429-nucleotide long non-coding RNA. RefSeq lists it as uncharacterized. The transcript is spliced from 2 exons. The record is from RefSeq and is a predicted model, not a curated record. NCBI's taxonomy places the organism in Eukaryota, Metazoa, Chordata, Mammalia, Rodentia, Cricetidae.